This 200-nucleotide unclassified non-coding RNA is filed under the name Hypocreales sp. Its description in RNAcentral is "partial internal transcribed spacer 2". The record is from RNAcentral. Lineage: Eukaryota; Fungi; Ascomycota; Sordariomycetes; Hypocreales.
UUAAGUUCAGCGGGUAUUCCUACCUGAUCCGAGGUCAACCUUGUGCCGCCGAGGCGGGCUUGUAGGGGGUUUAGAGGCUGGUGCCCAAGGGCUCCCGAUGCGAGGCGAAUGCUACUACGCAAAGGAAGGGCCGCUAGGGUCCGCCACUGAUUUUCAGGGCCUACGACAAGUCGUAGAUCCCCAACGCCGGGCCACUGGGG